Molecule: unclassified non-coding RNA, 334 nt
Filed under: soil metagenome
Description: partial contains 5.8S ribosomal RNA, internal transcribed spacer 2, and large subunit ribosomal RNA
Rfam family: 5.8S ribosomal RNA (bases 1-117)
Source: RNAcentral
GAAGAACGUAGCGAAAUGCGAUAAGUAGUGUGAAUUGCAGAAUUCAGUGAAUCAUCGAAUCUUUGAACGCACAUUGCGCCCCAUGGUAUUCCGUGGGGCAUGCCUGUUCGAGCGUCAUUUACCCCCUCAAGCUCCGCUUGGUGUUGGGCGUCUGUCCCGCUUCGCGCGCGGACUCGCCCCAAAGGUAUUGGCAGCGGUCGUGCCAGCUUCUCGCGCAGCACAUUGCGCUUCUCGAGGCACCGGUGGGCCCGCGUCCAUCAAGCUCACCCCCCCAGUUUGACCUCGGAUCAGGUAGGGAUACCCGCUGAACUUAAGCAUAUCAAUAAGCGGAUGA